UUAUGAACCUGCCUUGAUGUUUGUUUUAGCUCAUGGAGAGAAGAUAUCCACCACAGAGUAAUGUCAAUCCAAUGGGAAAGAAGCAUACCUUAUCUCAAAGCCAUUCCAGUGAUGUGUUCUGGAGCAAGUCCAUGGAGGAUCUUCCUAUCCAUAAAACCAGUACCACAACAAGGAAUCUCAAUGGACACCUGACCAACUUGGACACCCCAAAAACCACUGCGCAGAGUAAGACUUUACCUCUUGCUCCACUCAAGACAUCAUCUCUCCACAGCAUUUUGAGGAAUAGAGAGGCUGACACCAGGAUCAUGACGACAAUCCGACCCCUCAGCAGGAACACCAAUCUCCAUAAAGAGCCCUCCUUCUCUCCAUCUCUUCAGAGCAUGCAGAAGAAAGCACAAUGGAGUCCUACCAUCAUUACCUGGAAGGAUUCUGCCACAAAGGAAGGAAGGAUCUCCCAUGACAGACAGACAAUCAUCUCCUCAGUGACAGAUACAGCCAAUGACUCAGCCAUGGGCAGAAGUGAUGAGAGGACGCGGUCAUUUUUAGACAUAUCAGACAGCACUAGGCGCUUACUUCACCACCGACAAGGGAGGUCCUCUUCUCUGUCUGUGAAGGAGCUGUCAGCUCGUUAUCUCUCCCAGGCAGCUGCUGCUGCUGCUUCUCAAGGCAGCACCACAUCACCGAGAACUGUGAAGGACAGCUCCACUCAAUCUCUCAACAGCCAGAAAACAAGCAAGCCCAUGUCGAAAGAGGUGUGUGCCUCAUGCCUCCAGCCUGUCUACUCUAUGGAGCGUGUUUUCCCAGACAAAGUCUGUUUACACAACUCAUGCUUCUGCUGCAAAAUCUGUGGGAAGAAACUGAGGUGAGUUGUAGGACCCCAGAUCCAUUUGUUUUUAAGACAGGUCCAAGUAGUUUGCCUCAGAAUGGCCCAGUGGUCAUUCAAACAGAAUAGGCCCAAGGUAAC
RNAcentral lists this long non-coding RNA (964 nucleotides) under Phasianus colchicus (ring-necked pheasant). RNAcentral's name for it is "lncRNA (ENSPCLG00000018209.1)". Lineage: Eukaryota; Metazoa; Chordata; Aves; Galliformes; Phasianidae. The record is from RNAcentral.